RNAcentral lists this ribosomal RNA (471 nucleotides) under uncultured bacterium. Its description in RNAcentral is "partial 23S ribosomal RNA". The stretch from base 1 to 415 matches the Rfam family "Bacterial large subunit ribosomal RNA", at positions 2238 to 2651 of the family's 2925-position model. The record is from RNAcentral.
AUUUUUUCAAAAAACAUUGUAUGAUUGGUAGUUUCACUGGGGGCGGUGGCCUCCCAAAAGGUAACGGAGGCGUACAAAGGUAAUUAAAGAUUUUUUAAAGUUUUUAGUAUAAUGGCUUAUAAAAAAUUGCUUGACUGUUUAGAUAGACAUAUCUAUCAGGGACGUAAGUCGGUCAUAGUGAUCCAGUAGCGCUGUUUAGUUUUGGCUAUUGCUUAUCGGAUAAAAGUUACGCUAGGGAUAACAGGCUAAUAAUUCCUAAGAGUCCGUAUCGCCGGGAUUGUUUGGCACCUCGAUGUCGGCUCAUCUUUUCCUGGAUAUGUAGGUAGAUCCAAAGGUACGUCUGUUCGACGUUUAAUAAGGUACGUGAGCUGGGUUUAGAACGUCGUGAGACAGUUUGGUCCCUAUCUACUAUGGGUUUUAAAAAUUGAAAAGGGUUUGCGGGCUAGUAUGAGAAGAAUAGCAUCUAUCAAU